AUGCUUGGUUACCUCGUAAUUUCAAGGCGAAGGGGAUGGCAACAGGAUGCGCUUGUCUCAGGUUGUCCAGUAUAUCUACAUGUGUACAAGGCAUACUCGCUUCUUAGGUCGAAGAAGUGGGUGGUGCGGUCAGGUUUGCGGUAUGGCGCGGAUUUUGUAGCACAUCGUGAUCACCCAGCUAUUGUCCACUCAGAAUUUGCUGUGGUUGUUGUUCCAGACGGCGUGAAGUUUGGUGAAAGGUGUGGUCGUUUCAAAGCCACCCUAAUGCACCGCUUUAACAUGGCAUAUACUCCCUCCGUUUCCAAAUAUAAGUCUUUUUAG
RNAcentral lists this ribosomal RNA (321 nucleotides) under Triticum aestivum (bread wheat). RNAcentral's name for it is "partial small subunit ribosomal RNA". The record is from RNAcentral. Lineage: Eukaryota; Viridiplantae; Streptophyta; Magnoliopsida; Poales; Poaceae.